This 266-nucleotide small nuclear RNA is filed under the name Octodon degus (degu). RNAcentral's name for it is "7SK RNA (ENSODEG00000024801.1)". It matches the Rfam family "7SK RNA", at positions 1 to 280 of the family's 331-position model. Rfam says of the family: 7SK was discovered as an abundant small nuclear RNA in the mid-70s but a possible function has only recently been suggested. Two independent studies have found that 7SK RNA binds the CDK9/cyclin T complex (known as elongation factor P-TEFb). The record is from RNAcentral. Lineage: Eukaryota; Metazoa; Chordata; Mammalia; Rodentia; Octodontidae.
GGAUGUGAGGGCGCUCUGGAUGUGACAUCUGUCACCCCCUUAAUUGUCAGGGUUGAUUUGGCUGAUCUGGCUGACUGGAUGGGGGUCCCCUUCCUCCUUCCGUGCUCCAUGCGCAUCCCUCCUGAAGGUGCAUGCUUGGUCUAAGAGGACGACCACCCCUGAUAGAGGAGGCUCUUUGCUCGGUCAAGCAUAUAUGAGUAGCUCGCUCUCCUACCAGAAACUCCAAACAAGCUCUAAAGAACUCAGCAUGAGACUCUUCUCUCUCC